This 402-nucleotide ribosomal RNA is filed under the name uncultured bacterium. RNAcentral describes it as "bacterial SSU rRNA". It matches the Rfam family "Bacterial small subunit ribosomal RNA", at positions 355 to 774 of the family's 1533-position model. The record is from RNAcentral.
UGGGGAAUAUUGGACAAUGGGCGCAAGCCUGAUCCAGCCAUGCUGCGUGAGUGAUGAAGGCCUUAGGGUUGUAAAGCUCUUUCACCGGAGAAGAUAAUGACGGUAUCCGAAGAAGAAGCCCCGGCUAACUUCGUGCCAGCAGCCGCGGUAAUACGAAGGGGGCUAGCGUUGUUCGGAAUUACUGGGCGUAAAGCGCACGUAGGCGGACUUUUAAGUCAGGGGUGAAAUCCCGGGGCUCAACCCCGGAACUGCCUUUGAUACUGGAAGUCUGGAGUAUGGAAGAGGUAAGUGGAAUUCCGAGUGUAGAGGUGAAAUUCGUAGAUAUUCGGAGGAACACCAGUGGCGAAGGCGGCUUACUGGUCCAUUACUGACGCUCAUGCACGAAAGCGUGGGGAGCAAACA